RNAcentral lists this ribosomal RNA (505 nucleotides) under uncultured Roseateles sp. RNAcentral describes it as "bacterial SSU rRNA". It matches the Rfam family "Bacterial small subunit ribosomal RNA", at positions 62 to 569 of the family's 1533-position model. The record is from RNAcentral. Lineage: Bacteria; Pseudomonadati; Pseudomonadota; Betaproteobacteria; Burkholderiales; Sphaerotilaceae.
UCGAACGGUAACAGGUUAAGCUGACGAGUGGCGAACGGGUGAGUAAUGUAUCGGAACGUGCCCAGUCGUGGGGGAUAACUGCUCGAAAGAGCAGCUAAUACCGCAUACGACCUGAGGGUGAAAGCGGGGGAUCGCAAGACCUCGCGCGAUUGGAGCGGCCGAUAUCAGAUUAGGUAGUUGGUGAGGUAAAGGCUCACCAAGCCGACGAUCUGUAGCUGGUCUGAGAGGACGACCAGCCACACUGGGACUGAGACACGGCCCAGACUCCUACGGGAGGCAGCAGUGGGGAAUUUUGGACAAUGGGCGCAAGCCUGAUCCAGCCAUGCCGCGUGCGGGAAGAAGGCCUUCGGGUUGUAAACCGCUUUUGUCAGGGAAGAAAAGGUUCUGGCUAAUACCUGGGACUCAUGACGGUACCUGAAGAAUAAGCACCGGCUAACUACGUGCCAGCAGCCGCGGUAAUACGUAGGGUGCAAGCGUUAAUCGGAAUUACUGGGCGUAAAGCGUG